This 1167-nucleotide long non-coding RNA is filed under the name Taeniopygia guttata (zebra finch). Its description in RNAcentral is "lncRNA (ENSTGUG00000024574.1)". The record is from RNAcentral. Lineage: Eukaryota; Metazoa; Chordata; Aves; Passeriformes; Estrildidae.
GAGACAUGACCCAAGCCCUGUGGAGGCAGACACAGACCCUGGCCACCAUCACUUUCUAGGCACUUUCUAUUUUGGUCCCAGCCCCACUCGCUGCUCCAGGAGAGACCUGAGGAGGACAUGGGGACGUGGAGCAGUCCCAGGUUUGGAAAGCCCAAGGAUAUCCCCAUUUUCUGCUGGUUUUGGGAGACAAGCUGUCAGAUGAUGCAGCCUGGAUCAGCCCAGCUAAGCCUGGAGAAGAUCAGGAGCAGAUUUGGAUGAGGAGAUCAUUUGCCAAAUCAUUAAAGGAAAGAAUGAAGAGAAUGGGAUGACCAGCAACUAAAAACUGCGUUUUUCUUAACAAAUUUAUGUGAUUAUAAUAUUAUUUUGAAGAAAAUCAUUUUAGAAAGAAAGAAAAAUUGGAUGAGAUUGCUUUUGAGGUCAGAUUCUCGACUCAGUUACACCAGUAGCUCUCUGAUCUACUGUAGCAAUUCAAGCCAUCAUGUUCACAUUUUCCAUCAAAUAAGUGGACAGAACUCUGAUGGCAGCUUGUCUGGUGACAGACUCUGUAUGUGCACCCAGUGCUUACUUGCCAAAAUACAAACCAUCAACAUUUUCCCUGCUUGCACUCCCAGAUCAGGACUCUGAAAGAAUGUUGUGCAGGCAGGAUUGCAGUGCUUCUUGCACCACCUUACAUCAACAUCCACUUCCACCUCCUUUUACACCAGCAGAAGUUCAGAAGCCAGGGAAUAAAGAGCUGCUUCAAGGAAGGCAUUUUUUUGUGUGCUGCAAGGAUGCUGUGUCCGUGGAGGUAAGUGCCAAAGUGAUGGGGAUGCAGCUGAGGCACAGCCUCUGCAGCUCUGAGCUGUGUGGGUCCUGUAAAACGAAACACGAACAGAAAAUGCCUUCAUGUGCUCGCCUUUCCCAGUCCUGCUGGCUGGUGCUUCAGCUUCCUGCUGGGAAGGGCAGGCAAGGAUCCAGGCAAGGCUUUUCUGAAGGGUUUUAUCUGCUCCUCUUUAGCACCUCUUUGCCUCUGCACAGUUGUUUUGCUCCAGAAGUCUCUGAGUAAGUGGGGACCACUUUUGUCACUGCAUGCCAAACCCUCAUCCCUUGUGAAAUCUGCCGAGAGUGGGCUUCAGCCCAGCAGCCUGUCCAUCGAAGUGGCUGAUUUAACAUUACCAAAAGUAAUUU